Molecule: ribosomal RNA, 523 nt
Filed under: uncultured bacterium
Lineage: Bacteria
Description: bacterial SSU rRNA
Rfam family: Bacterial small subunit ribosomal RNA
Source: RNAcentral
UAGUCCACGCCGUAAACGAUGGAUACUAGCUGUUUGUCUAACAUUGGUUAGAUAGGUGGCUAAGCGAAGGUGAUAAGUAUCCCACCUGGGGAGUACGUUCGCAAGAAUGAAACUCAAAGGAAUUGACGGGGGCCCGCACAAGCGGUGGAGCAUGUGGUUUAAUUCGAUGAUACGCGAGGAACCUUACCAAGGCUUAAAUGGGAUCUGACAGGGGUGGAAACACCCUUUUCUUCGGACAGAUUUCAAGGUGCUGCAUGGUUGUCGUCAGCUCGUGCCGUGAGGUGUCAGGUUAAGUCCUAUAACGAGCGCAACCCCUUUUGUUAGUUACCAGCAAGAAAGAUGGGGACUCUAACAAGACUGCCGGUGUAAACCGUGAGGAAGGUGGGGAUGACGUCAAAUCAUCACGGCCCUUACGUCUUGGGCUACACACGUGCUACAAUGGUAGGAACAAUGAGCAGCCACCCCGCGAGGGGGCGCUAAUCUAUAAAUCCUAUCCCAGUUCGGAUCGCAGUCUGCAACUCGA